Long non-coding RNA from Lycium ferocissimum, 623 nucleotides. RefSeq lists it as uncharacterized. NCBI's taxonomy places the organism in Eukaryota, Viridiplantae, Streptophyta, Magnoliopsida, Solanales, Solanaceae. The transcript is spliced from 2 exons. The record is from RefSeq and is a predicted model, not a curated record.
UUCUUGUCUUCAUAAAGCUGCGUGUUACUGCACUCAAUAUUGUUACUAUCUCCGGUCCAAUUUAAAUUUGUUUUAAACUUUAAAAUUUGGUCCACAGUGUCGUUUUAGGAAACCAAGAAGGCAUUAAUUUUUCCCCAAAUCUUCAGCUACUCUACAACAACAACAUACCCAAUGUAAUCCCACGAAUGGGGUCUGGGAAAGGUAGAGUAAAAAAAAGUCAGUAAGAUAAUCAAAGUAGGAGAAACAACAGAUAGUACAUGUAAUCAAAGGACAUGAAACUAUAAGAGAAAGACUACGACUACUACUAUGGAAGGACAACUGAGACAACGCUCUAAUACCUACUAGCCUUCUAAGCUGCAAUUGUGCCAUGUCAUGUCUAAUCACCUCUCCGCGAUACUUCUUCGGCCUACCUCUACCUCUCCUGAAACCAUACACCGCCAACCUCUCACACUUCCGUACUGUGGCGUCCGUGCAUCUUCUCUUGACAUGCCCGAACCAUCUCAGUCUCGCUUCCCGCAUCUUGUCCUCCACUGAGGCCACUCCCACCUUGUCCCUGAUAUCUUCAUUUCUAAUCCUAUCACUCCUAGUCUGCCCACACAUCCAUCGCAGCAUCCUCAUUUCCA